RNAcentral lists this small RNA (20 nucleotides) under Arabidopsis thaliana (thale cress). RNAcentral's name for it is "Ath_wt_11442". Lineage: Eukaryota; Viridiplantae; Streptophyta; Magnoliopsida; Brassicales; Brassicaceae. The record is from RNAcentral.
GGUUCAGGACAUCUCUCUUU